CCUACGGGGGACAGCAGUGAGGAAUAUUGGUCAAUGGUCGGGAGACUGAACCAGCCAAGCCGCGUGAGGGAUGAAGGUACAGAGUAUCGUAAACCUCUUUUGUCAGGGAACAAAGGCGGGGACGUGUCCCCGGAUGAGUGUACCUGAAGAAAAAGCAUCGGCUAACUCCGUGCCAGCAGCCGCGGUAAUACGGAGGAUGCGAGCGGUAUCCGGAUUUAUUGGGUGAAAGGGGUGCGCAGGCGGUCUGUUAAGUCAGCGGUCAAAGCCCGGGGCUCAACCCCGGCCCGCCGUUGAAACUGGCAGUCGCGAGUUGGAGAGAAGUAUGCGGAAUGCGCGGUGUAGCGGUGAAAUGCAUAGAUAUCGCGCAGAACUCCGAUUGCGAAGGCAGCAUGCCGGCUCCACACUGACGCUGAGGCACGAAAGCGUGGGUAUCGAACAGGAUUAGAUACCCGGGUAGUC
This 459-nucleotide ribosomal RNA is filed under the name uncultured bacterium. RNAcentral describes it as "partial 16S ribosomal RNA". It matches the Rfam family "Bacterial small subunit ribosomal RNA", at positions 338 to 795 of the family's 1533-position model. The record is from RNAcentral.